This 29-nucleotide non-coding RNA is filed under the name Homo sapiens (human). The record is from RNAcentral. Lineage: Eukaryota; Metazoa; Chordata; Mammalia; Primates; Hominidae.
AGAGCCAGGACCCAGAUGACACAGAUGAC